AGUGAACGCUGGCGGUAGGCCUAACACAUGCAAGUCGAACGGCAGCACAGUAAGAGCUUGCUCUUACGGGUGGCGAGUGGCGGACGGGUGAGGAAUACAUCGGAAUCUACUUUUUCGUGGGGGAUAACGUAGGGAAACUUACGCUAAUGCCGCAUACGACCUACGGGUGAAAGCAGGGGAUCUUCGGACCUUGCGCGAUUGAAUGAGCCGAUGUCGGAUUAGCUAGUUGGCGGGGUAAAGGCCCACCAAGGCGACGAUCCGUAGCUGGUCUGAGAGGAUGAUCAGCCACACUGGAACUGAGCAACGGUCCAGACUCCUACGGGAGGCAGCGGUGGGGAAUAUUGGACAAUGGGCGAAAGCCUGAUCCAGCCAUACCGCGUGGGUGAAGAAGGCCUUCGGGUUGUAAAGCCCUUUUGUUGGGAAAGAAAAGCAGCAGGUUAAUACCCCGCUGUUCUGACGGUACCCAAAGAAUAAGCACCGGCUAACUUCGUG
Molecule: ribosomal RNA, 492 nt
Filed under: uncultured bacterium
Lineage: Bacteria
Description: partial 16S ribosomal RNA
Rfam family: Bacterial small subunit ribosomal RNA
Source: RNAcentral